RNAcentral lists this long non-coding RNA (843 nucleotides) under Pogona vitticeps (central bearded dragon). RNAcentral's name for it is "lncRNA (ENSPVIG00000011400.1)". Lineage: Eukaryota; Metazoa; Chordata; Lepidosauria; Squamata; Agamidae. The record is from RNAcentral.
GGGCCUUCCUGGGGGUGGGGGGAGAAAGCCGCUCCGAACUCCUGGCCCGCUUGGGCAUCCCCGCGGAGGAGAUGGACGGACCGAACCGACACCUGGAGGGCCUGUGGGAAGCCCUGGAGGACAUCUACCUGUCCAAGGAGGUGGACGCCCCGCGGGAGAAGGUGGAGGCCGUGUCUUGGUCCGUGGCGGCCUUCGGCCCUGAGGGCCCGGUUGGGGAUCCCCGUGGAGGAGAUGGACGCCCUGGACCGACACCUGGAGGGCCUGUGGGAAGCCCUGGAGGACAUCUACCUGUCCAAGGAGGUGGACGCCCCGCGGGAGAAGGUGGAGGCCGUGUCUUGGUCCGUGGCGGCCUUCAAGGGGGCCCUGAGGGCGGCCGGACGGGCCGAGGGUCCCGCCUGGGAGAGGCUGGGCGCCCUGGAGAGAUGCGUGGAAGGUCUGCCGCUGGAGGAAAUGGCGGCCCUGAAUGAGGAGCUGAGGACCCUCACAGAGGUCCUGAGGGAGAAGGCGGAAGCCCCAGAGGACGUGCCCUGGAUGGAGGUGGGAGAGGCCCCGGAUUGGGGCCAAGCAGAGACCUGGAAGGCGCCCGGCGCAGGUGCCGAUCCAACACCUGUGGUGGCAGGAGGAGGAAGAGACCAAGACGGGAUUGGGGCCUUGGGACUGCCUUUGCCAGCUUCUGUGGGGGCAUCAAGCUUCUCGACGAAGGAGGACACCGGUUGCAGCCGUCCUGUCAACUCCCCGGGAGGUGCGUCGGCCUCGGGGCCUCCUUCGGGUCUUGGGGCAAGGAGAAACUGGCACAAGGAUGUGACUCAGGAGGCGCGCCAGUGCUUGGUCCCGAAGUUGUAA